UGAGCAGCUGCAUUUCUCGGAGCAGAAGGUCCAUGUCGGGUUUUAGGGCUCCAGUGGUUUGUUCCAAGGGGGUCAGCGGAGCGCAGGCCGGUGGCCCAGCAGUGGGGGCUCCGCCCGCGGGGAACAGCAGCCCGGCUGAGGUGGUGUUAGGGACGGAGGUGACCGACGGGACCGAUACGGACAGCGGGGGCUUUCUGAAGGAAAGCGGCUUGUUACCGGGCGCCAAAGCCGCAGCCUGUGGGACCGGGACGGUGGUGGACGCCACGUCCAAGGGAGAACCUGUGAACGCAACACACAGAGAGCCGCACGGCUGAAAUCCUUCUCGCAAGGGCUGCGGGAAGGCGAACUGCAGCGGCGUGUCGCGCUUCUGAGGGUGCAGGAGCGUCUCGCACCGCAAGACCACUCCGCCGAGGGCCGCGCCGCGAGCCUCCACCUGGCCCAUCACCCUCAGCACCGGCGCCUGGAACAGCUCUGCGGAGAGGAGGCCCAGUGGCUAAGGAUGCACUUUAGGCCGGCGCAAGGGUCCCAGGGAACCAGCCUAGAAGGGGGUCGCUGCGCCUGCUUCGCAAGACGCUCAGGAGCAGUUCCCUCGCCCCAGCCCCACAGUGAUCCCAUCUACUGCCGCUGUCUUUCUGGCUGGGGCUGCGGAGAGAGCUGCCCCCAAUAUGGGGGUCUCAACCCGGAGUAAGAAGCUGGAUGUGUACCGGGGAGAAGGGACACCUGCCGCCACGCAGGCUACAGAUUAAGGGCGACUUCACUGAGGAGGAAGAGAGGAGAACGUGUACUUGGACCCGCAGAGAAAUCCACCAUGUGCCAGCUACUGUAACCUCCGCGCCUCCUUUCCCCGCCUGGUUUCUGUCCCAGAAUUUCCCAGGGCUCGUUUGCCUCCCUCCGCGGCCCCGAGUCUCCCCCACCUUGCACGGUCACGGCCACCUUGGCGGAGAACAUGGGCGCGCUCUCCACCGGGAUGCGCAUGGUGCCGGAGCACUGGUAGCGCCCGCUAUCGCUGGCGCGCGCCUGGGGCACCGUGUAGUUGGCGCUGGAGUGGAAGUAGCGCACGGGUUGGCCGUCGUGGUAGUAGUGAAGUUUGUAGACGACCUUGUCGUACCAACCGCGGCAGCGCAUGACCAGCGGCUCGCCCUCGAACACCGCAGCAUAGGGCACUUGCAGGAUCAGCCAGUCUACGACAGUCAGCACAGACAGACUCCAAGAGAAAGUCCAGCCUGGGUCUGCCAUACUUCUCCGCCUCCCUGCUCCCCCGUCCUCCCCCUUUCUCCUCACCAACUCCCUCCCCCCUUACUGGGCACCCCAGGAGCCUCAGAACAAGAAGCAUCAGAAGGUGAGUGGGAAGGAAAGGGGAAGACCAGCCUUUUAUUAGGUACUAAGAAGACAAAGAUGCCUGAGACUUGGUUCCAGCCUCAAAGAGUCAUGCCCGUCAGAAUCCAGUUUAAACUCCUUAGGAUGGUAUCAGGGCCUUCCUGACCUGGCCUCUGCCUACCUUUUCAGCACCAUCUCAGGAUUCUCCCCUGCCCCAUGUCUCCUUUUCUCUCUCCACCUUCCAUUCCUAAUGCAGACUAAGUCCGUGCAUCCUGGACUGCUGGGAGAACUGGCCCUGCUCUGAGCCCAGAGGCUUUGUACCUGCCAAGAAGACCCCUUCACCUGCUGUAGUUGAGGCCUGCUUAUCCUGCAGACCUGGGCUUAGAUCCUGUCUCCUUGAGAAAACUUACCCGACCCCACCCCCAGACUUAGACACCUCCCCCAGCACCCUUAUGUACCUGAUCACCAUCAUCACCAUAGCCAACACUUAACAUAGCCCUGGUGUCUGCUAGAUGCCACUUUAGGUGUUUUCCAUCGAGAAAGAAUUCCGCAAGUGAUAGCCACAAUCUCUGUGCUACUCGCAGUUCUGCAAGCAGUGACUACCGUCUAUCAUAUUCAAUAUCUUAUCUGUACUCGCUAUCAAUUUCCCAACAAGAAACCACAGAGUAUGGAUGUGAAGUAUAAGUGCUAAUCUGAACACUGAGUGAUGGUCUUUAAAUUCUGAAUACAAAAUAUAGCCUACCAGGCUAAAAUGACAUAAUAUUCCCAACAAGGUAGCCAAUCCUGUGCCCUAAUGAACAGAUUACUGUUAUUUCUCUUAUCCUGUUUGGAAAUCCUUUAUCCCCCAGGGAAUUAGUUUCUUAAUUGACUCUUCUGUACGCAUGUGUACGUGUCUAUAAUAAAAUUUUGCUGAAGUGCUUUC
Molecule: non-coding RNA, 2239 nt
Organism: Delphinapterus leucas (beluga whale)
Lineage: Eukaryota; Metazoa; Chordata; Mammalia; Artiodactyla; Monodontidae
Source: RefSeq, a predicted model, not a curated record